RNAcentral lists this long non-coding RNA (1788 nucleotides) under Piliocolobus tephrosceles (Ugandan red Colobus). Its description in RNAcentral is "lncRNA (ENSPTEG00000028317.1)". Lineage: Eukaryota; Metazoa; Chordata; Mammalia; Primates; Cercopithecidae. The record is from RNAcentral.
AUGUUUUUUUUUUAUUUAUUCAUUUUUUUUUAUAAAUGCUUCAUAAAUAAUAUAAAUAAUAUGAGCAGUGAAAAUUUGUCUUCAAACUUAACAAAUAAUUUAUCCUUACAUAACAAAACCAGUGACAUAAAUGUUAUAACUUCACUAACACAAAAUUUUAAACAAAAAUUUAAUGUUUUCCCAUCUACAUAUGCAUAUACAUAUAGAUAUACAGAUAAUAUAAAUAUAAGCCAAUCGAGUAGUAAUUUAUUUUAUACUACUGCUCAUAAUUUAACAAAAGAAAAGUUUACCCCUGUUGAAAAUCAAAAUAUAAAAACUAUUACUACAAUUAUUGGGACAUCUUCCAAAAAAUAUAUGAAUAAUAUAGUUAAAAAAAGUAUAAAUAUGUUUAGUAGAAUAAACACAUCGCAAAGUAAAAGCCUGCGUAUACCCAAAAAAAUAUAUAAUAGUAAAGUUAUACAUAAAAAUCUAAAUACGGAUAAAAAAGUAGAUAAACGGCAAAACAAAUAUAGGAGUCAUUUCUCACAUAAACGUGGUAUUAAUACUGCAAAAAACUACAAUAAUAAUAAUAAUAAUAAUUAUAGUAAUAAUAAUAGUGACUCAUACCAAAACAAUUGCGACCCUUACCAAAACAAUUGCAACCCUUACCAAAACAAUUGCGACCCUUACCAAAACAAUUGCGACCCUNNNNNNNNNNACCCUUACCAAAACAAUUGCGACCCUUACCAAAACAAUUGCGACCCUUACCAAAACAAAUGUGACGAUAUUAAUACUUAUAACAACAGUAUAAAUAACGAAAAUAAAAAUAACAAUAACUAUGAAAACAACAAUAAUAGUUGUAGCAACAGUAAUGAUAACUUUAGCAACAAUAACAAAAAUUAUAAAAAUAAACAAAAUAAAAAUUAUAAAAUAGAUCAUAAUCUUAUUGCAAAUCCCUCAAUACGCGCAAAUUAUAAAAAACCUUAUUCGUUCAUACAAAAUCACAAUAAUAACAAUAAUAAUAAUAAUAACAACAAUAAUAAUAAUAAUAAUAACGACAAUAAUAAUAAUAACAACAAUAAUAGUAAUAACAACAAUAAUAGUAAUAACAACAUAUUGGGUACAAAAAAACAUAUACAAAAACAUAUGUUCCAACAUAAAAACAACAAACAUAUUUCAAAUAAAUUUAUUAACUCUGGUAACAUAAAUAAUAAUCAAAAUUAUUAUAACAAUAAAACAAACGAGUGUGUAGAAAAAAAUAUUCAUUCAAAUUACAACAAUAAGUAUAUAACUAAAAGAUUUACUACUUACAAAGUAAAUAAUUACAAAACAGAAUUUUACAAUAAACCAUUUAAAAAAACAGAUAAAAUGUUUUAUGAAUAUAUAAACACAGAGAUAAAAGAAGAAUUUAAACAAAAAUAUAAAGCGGCUGGUAUUGUUGUUAUAAAAGCAAAUGUAGAGGAUAAUAAACAGAAUGUUAAUAAAAAUAUAAAUUUGAAAAAUAUUAAUAUACAAUUAUUAAUUGGUAAUGAUAAAAUAAAAAAAACAGAUGAUAUAAUUUUUAAAGGAAAUAAUAUAAUUAAUGGUAUGAGUAAUUUAAAUAUAUUAGGAGGAAAAAAACAACAAGAUGAAAAUGAUCCAAUAGAUACUGCUUAUAGAGAAGCAAGUGAAGAAAGUUUAUUUAUUUACAAUUGUUUUUUAUCAUACUUUAAUCAUUUAUACUAUGUUAUGACAGAUAUACAAUCUCUUAAAAAAAAAAUAAUAUGGUUACUUUACAUACAAAUGAUAUAUGUAAUAAACAACUUGUAG